AAUCAUGGCUCAGGAUGAACGCUAGCUACAGGCUUAACACAUGCAAGUCGAGGGGCAGCAUGGUCUUAGCUUGCUAAGGCCGAUGGCGACCGGCGCACGGGUGAGUAACGCGUAUCCAACCUGCCUUACACUCUUGGACAACCUUCUGAAAGGGAGAUUAAUACAAGAUGUUAUCAUGAGUAAGCAUUUCGCAUGAUUAAAGGUUUACCGGUGUAAGNGUGGGAUGCGUUCCAUUAAG
Molecule: ribosomal RNA, 238 nt
Filed under: uncultured bacterium
Lineage: Bacteria
Description: partial 16S ribosomal RNA
Rfam family: Bacterial small subunit ribosomal RNA
Source: RNAcentral